Molecule: ribosomal RNA, 670 nt
Filed under: Brachybacterium phenoliresistens
Lineage: Bacteria; Bacillati; Actinomycetota; Actinomycetes; Micrococcales; Dermabacteraceae
Description: bacterial SSU rRNA
Rfam family: Bacterial small subunit ribosomal RNA
Source: RNAcentral
AAAAUGCGCAGAUAUCAGAAAGACCCCCGAUGGCGAAGGCAGGUCUCUGGGCCAUUACUGACAUUGAGAAGCGAAAGCAUGGGGAGCGAACAGGAUUAGAUACCCUGGUAGUCCAUGCCGUAAACGUUGGGCACUAGGUGUGGGCGACAUUCCACGUUGUCUGCGCCGUAGCUAACGCAUUAAGUGCCCCGCCUGGGGAGUACGGCCGCAAGGCUAAAACUCAAAGGAAUUGACGGGGGCCCGCACAAGCGGCGGAGCAUGCGGAUUAAUUCGAUGCAACGCGAAGAACCUUACCAAGGCUUGACAUGCACCGGACAGCUGCAGAGAUGUGGCUUUCUUUGGACUGGUGCACAGGUGGUGCAUGGUUGUCGUCAGCUCGUGUCGUGAGAUGUUGGGUUAAGUCCCGCAACGAGCGCAACCCUCGUUCUAUGUUGCCAGCGCGUCAUGGCGGGGACUCAUAGGAGACUGCCGGGGUCAACUCGGAGGAAGGUGGGGACGACGUCAAAUCAUCAUGCCCCUUAUGUCUUGGGCUUCACGCAUGCUACAAUGGCCGGUACAAAGGGUUGCGAAACUGUGAGGUGGAGCGAAUCCCAAAAAGCCGGUCUCAGUUCGGAUUGGGGUCUGCAACUCGACCCCAUGAAGUCGGAGUCGCUAGUAAUCGCAGAUCAGC